UAAAAGAUUUAUUAAUUAUUUUAUUAUUCCCGAAUUUAGAAGAGCUAAUUUUUUAUAUAUUUUAUUGUUGAAUAAAUAUUUAAAAUAUGAAAUUAGUAAUGAAAUGUUAUUCGUUUCUUAAUUUAUCUGGUUUUUUUAGAAAUAAAUUUAAUUUAGUUAACUUUUUUCAUGAAUUUUAAAUUAUUAAUUUUGUGUGCGGGUUAGGUAAUUGCUUUAGGGAUGAGCUUUGAGCAAGAUUAUUAAAAAGAUAUGGUUUUGUUUAAAUUAAAGUAGGAUUAGAAGUUUCCAUUUUUUAUAAUGUUAUAAUUAUUUUUAUUCAAAUUUUUAUUUAUAUUUCUUUUAAGUUUUUUAUAAAAAUAAAUUAAUUAAUUGUUUUUUAUUUUUAAUAAUGAUAGAAUUAGUAUAUUUCAAGUGUAAAAUUAUUUUUUGGGUUAAGGCCACCCAAAGGAAUUCGGCAAAAAAUUUUCUGCCUGUUUAUUAAAAACAUGGCCUUUUGAUUUUUAUUUAAGGUCUGACCUGCCCACUGAGGGGUUAAAUGGCUGCGGUAUUUU
RNAcentral lists this ribosomal RNA (551 nucleotides) under Anomophysis aegrota. RNAcentral describes it as "partial 16S ribosomal RNA". The record is from RNAcentral. Lineage: Eukaryota; Metazoa; Arthropoda; Insecta; Coleoptera; Cerambycidae.